RNAcentral lists this ribosomal RNA (1321 nucleotides) under uncultured Alphaproteobacteria bacterium. RNAcentral describes it as "bacterial SSU rRNA". It matches the Rfam family "Bacterial small subunit ribosomal RNA", at positions 29 to 1397 of the family's 1533-position model. The record is from RNAcentral. Lineage: Bacteria; Pseudomonadati; Pseudomonadota; Alphaproteobacteria.
ACGUACGCUGGCGGCACGCCUAACACAUGCAAGUCGAACGAAGUAGCAAUACUUAGUGGCAGACGGGUGAGUAACAUGUAGGUAUCUGCCCUUUGGCCUGGAAUAACACGAGGAAACUUGUGCUAAUACCGGAUAAGUCUUUACGGAGAAAGCUUUAUGCACCAUUGGAUGAGCCUGCACUUGAUUAGUUUGUUGGUGGGGUAAUGGCCUACCAAGACUGUGAUCAAUAGCUGAUUUGAGAGGAUGAUCAGCCACAUUGGGACUGAGACACGGCCCAAACUCCUACGGGAGGCAGCAGUGGGGAAUCUUGCACAAUGGAGGAAACUCUGAUGCAGCGAUGCCGCGUGAGUGAAGAAGGCCCUUGGGUUGUAAAGCUCUUUCGUCGGGGAAGAAAAUGACUGUACCCGAAUAAGAAGGUCCGGCUAACUUCGUGCCAGCAGCCGCGGUAAUACGAAGGGACCUAGCGUAGUUCGGAAUUACUGGGCUUAAAGAGUUCGUAGGUGGUUGAAAUAGUUGGUGGUGAAAUCCCAGAGCUUAACUCUGGAACUGCCAUCAAAACUUUUCAGCUAGAGUAUGAUAGAGGAAAGCAGAAUUUCUAGUGUAGAGGUGAAAUUCGUAGAUAUUAGAAAGAAUACCAAUUGCGAAGGCAGCUUUCUGGAUCAUUACUGACACUGAGGAACGAAAGCAUGGGUAGCGAAGAGGAUUAGAUACCCUCGUAGUCCAUGCCGUAAACGAUGUGUGUUAGACGUUGGAAAUUUAUUUUCAGUGUCGCAGGGAAACCGAUAAACACACCGCCUGGGGAGUACGACCGCAAGGUUAAAACUCAAAUGAAUUGACGGGGACCCGCACAAGUAGUGGAGCAUGUGGUUUAAUUCGAAGAUACGCGCAGAACCUUACCAACACUUGACAUGUUCGUCGCGACUCUAAGAGAUUAGAGUUUUCGGUUCGGCCGGACGAAACACAGGUGCUGCAUGGCUGUCGUCAGCUCGUGUCGUGAGAUGUUGGGUUAAGUCCCGCAACGAGCGCAACCCUCACUUUUAGUUGCCAUCAUUAAGUUGGGCACUCUGAAAGAACUGCCAGUGAUAAGCUGGAGGAAGGUGGGGAUGACGUCAAGUCCUCAUGGCCCUUACGUGUUGGGCUACACACGUGCUACAAUGGUAUCUACAACAGGAAGCAAGACUGCGAAGUUAAGCAAAUCCCUAAAAGAUACCUCAGUUCGGAUUGCACUCUGCAACUCGAGUGCAUGAAGCUGGAAUUACUAGUAAUCGUGGAUCAGCGUGCCACGGUGAAUGCGUUCCCGGGUCUUGCACACACCGCCCGU